GUGGGGAAUCUUCCGCAAUGGACGAAAGUCUGACGGAGCAACGCCGCGUGAGUGAAGAAGGUUUUCGGAUCGUAAAGCUCUUUCGUUAGGGACGAACGUGCUCUUUGUGAAUAAUGAGGAGUAAUGACGGUACCUAAAUAAGAAGCCACGGCUAACUACGUGCCAGCAGCCGCGGUAAUACGUAGGUGGCAAGCGUUGUCCGGACUUAUUUGGCGUAAAGCGCGCGCAGGCGGGAUAUCAAGUCUGUCUUAAAAGUGCGAGGCUCAACCUCGUGAGGGGACAGAAACUGGUAUUCUUGAGUGUCGGAGAGGAAAGUGGAAUUCCAAGUGUAGCGGUGAAAUGCGUAGAGAUUUGGAAGAACACCAGUGGCGAAGGCGACUUUCUGGACGAUGUCUGACGCUGAGGCGCGAAAGCUAGGGGAGCGAACGGGAUUAGAAACCCUUGUAGUCC
Molecule: ribosomal RNA, 450 nt
Filed under: uncultured bacterium
Lineage: Bacteria
Description: partial 16S ribosomal RNA
Rfam family: Bacterial small subunit ribosomal RNA
Source: RNAcentral